ACAGCGUAAGCCGAAAAGCUGGGAGAGAGUAGGCG
RNAcentral lists this non-coding RNA (35 nucleotides) under unclassified sequences. RNAcentral describes it as "DUF805b RNA". It matches the Rfam family "DUF805b RNA". From Rfam's summary of the family: Bacteroidetes, Chlorobi (1 example), Proteobacteria. Lineage (Flavobacteria) The record is from RNAcentral.